GUAACGGCGAGUGAAGCGGCAAAAGCUCAAAUUUGAAAUCUAGCACCUUCGGUGUUCGAGUUGUAAUUUGAAGAUGGUAACCUUGGGUUUGGCUCUUGUCUAUGUUCCUUGGAACAGGACGUCAUAGAGGGUGAGAAUCCCGUCUGAUGAGAUGCCCAUUCCUAUGUAAGGUGCUAUCGAAGAGUCGAGUUGUUUGGGAAUGCAGCUCUAAGUGGGUGGUAAAUUCCAUCUAAAGCUAAAUAUUGGCGAGAGACCGAUAGCGAACAAGUACAGUGAUGGAAAGAUGAAAAGAACUUUGAAAAGAGAGUGAAAAAGUACGUGAAAUUGUUGAAAGGGAAGGGCAUUAGAUCAGACUUGGUGUUUUACGAUUAUCUUCUCUUCUUGAGUUGUGCACUCGUAUUUCACUGGGCCAGCAUCGAUUCGGAUGGCAAGAUAAUGGCAGUUGAAUGUGGCUUCACUUCGGUGGAGUGUUAUAGCUUCUGCUGAUAUUGCCUGUCUGGAUCGAGGGCUGCGUCUUUUGACUAGGAUGCUGGCGUAAUGAUCUAAUGCCGCCCGUCUU
Molecule: ribosomal RNA, 559 nt
Filed under: Hansenula anomala
Lineage: Eukaryota; Fungi; Ascomycota; Saccharomycetes; Phaffomycetales; Wickerhamomycetaceae
Description: Wickerhamomyces anomalus partial large subunit ribosomal RNA
Rfam family: Eukaryotic large subunit ribosomal RNA
Source: RNAcentral